UCAAAACAAGAUAAACCUAGCUUAGGGGGCUACAGUAUAUGUACUAGGGUAUAUACAGUAUAUAGUCGCAAUGUACAGUCGUCCGGUAAGUACCAGGGGGACACAACUAAACUAAUUGUCAUAAACUCAUCUAAAAACAACUCUUUGUCUAUGGAACUAAGAUCAAGUCAGCCGUUUUAUGUAUAAAAAAAUGUUUUUGACUUUGAUAAAACAUUUCAAAAUGCCGCGUGAGGGUACUGGAAGACCAAUUCCUCCAAAUCUCCAAGAGGCCAGCAACACACUUGUAACUCCUCUAGUGUCGCGGGUGUUUAUCGUUCUUAGUACCUAUGUCCCAUAAAGAAAAUAAUUGAAUUAUUUUUGUCAAAUGCAUCAUUCGUUUAAUGGCUCCGAUGGAUCACCUGAUGGUAAGCAAUCGCCAUACAUGGACACUCGCAGCACUAGAGGACUCACAAUUGCGUCGCUUACUUUAAAAGGAGUAUAUAGUAUUUCUCGAGACUUGCAUUUGUUCAAAUAAUUUCAUUUCAAAGGUAUCAGUAGUUCCAUAGACAAACAGCGAGUGUGGAUAUAAACGGAUCUAAAGUAAUAAAGCUAGGAAUAUGUCACACGUGUCGUACAACGCAGCGUUUGUAAUCUGGCUGUCUGUCUGUUUGUCUGUCUGUACUCGCGACAUUUCAGUCGAUUCACUAAAAUAUUUGGUUCUUUUAAUCUAUAAGUGUACCAUACCAUCCAUAGUCGAGAACAGUGUAUAAACAUCAUAAUAUCAUUUAUAUUCGAUAAAUCGAACAUAUCACUAUUCGAUUAAGUACUGUGAUAUUAUUUAUAUCGCACUUCCAAGAGAGUAAGUUCUAAGUUCGACUUCUAUGUUUGUCAGCAAUUACCUCGUGAUUAGCUGAACCGAUUUUGGACUGAUGUUCACAUGAGUUUAGUGAAUCGAAUGAGAUAUCGGCGUGUAGUAUGUUCUAUGCACGAGUAGUAUGAUGCUAGCAGUGGAACUGUUGCUGCGUGAUGGCGGAGAGGUCCUUCAUGAGUCCUCCAGUGUAUGUCGGAGUAGUGGGUGCUAGCAGUGGAACUGUUGCUGCGUGAUGGCGGAGAGGUCCUUCAUGAGUCCUCCAGUGUAUGUCGGAGUAGUGGGUGCUAGCAGUGGAACUGUUGCUGCGUGAUGGCGGAGAGGUCCUUCAUGAGUCCUCCAGUGUAUGUCGGAGUAGUGGGUGCUAGCAGUGGAACUGUUGCUGCGUGAUGGCGGAGAGGUCCUUCAUGAGUCCUCCAGUGUAUGUCGGAGUAGUGGGUGCUAGCAGUGGAACUGUUGCUGCGUGAUGGCGGAGAGGUCCUUCAUGAGUCCUCCAGUGUAUGUCGGAGUAGUGGGUGCUAGCAGUGGAACUGUUGCUGCGUGAUGGCGGAGAGGUCCUUCAUGAGUCCUCCAGUGUAUGUCGGAGUAGUGGGUGCUAGCAGUGGAACUGUUGCUGCGUGAUGGCGGAGAGGUCCUUCAUGAGUCCUCCAGUGUAUGUCGGAGUAGUGGGUGCUAGCAGUGGAACUGUUGCUGCGUGAUGGCGGAGAGGUCCUUCAUGAGUCCUCCAGUGUAUGUCGGAGUAGUGGGUGCUAGCAGUGGAACUGUUGCUGCGUGAUGGCG
Long non-coding RNA from Spodoptera frugiperda (fall armyworm), 1627 nucleotides. RefSeq lists it as uncharacterized. The transcript has 3 exons. NCBI's taxonomy places the organism in Eukaryota, Metazoa, Arthropoda, Insecta, Lepidoptera, Noctuidae. The record is from RefSeq and is a predicted model, not a curated record.